AUAAUAUAUAACAACAAUAUUUCGUAUGCUUUUUACAAAACAAAAUUAAUAUUUAUAUAAACGAAAAAAUGGAAUAGGAAACUGAUGUGAUGUACAGCGAUGGACAUUAAAGUGUAUGACCGCACAAUAUAAGUAGUCGAGCUUAGUUUAAUGUUGGUAACCAUGGUAUCUGGAUGCAUUCAUUUCACCUUUUCUCUGCUUGAAUUUAU
RNAcentral lists this long non-coding RNA (209 nucleotides) under Mytilus galloprovincialis (Mediterranean mussel). The record is from RNAcentral. Lineage: Eukaryota; Metazoa; Mollusca; Bivalvia; Mytilida; Mytilidae.